Felis catus (domestic cat) is the source of this 1103-nucleotide long non-coding RNA. RefSeq lists it as uncharacterized. The transcript has 3 exons. Lineage: Eukaryota; Metazoa; Chordata; Mammalia; Carnivora; Felidae. The record is from RefSeq and is a predicted model, not a curated record.
AAAUGGCGUCACCCAGCCGCUAGUCUCUUACCAGAUCUCUGUUCUCCCUGAUCAGCAAUUGCGCACCGUCCUUUGUCUUCGACUUCCAUCCGUUCCCUGCUUUUACACCCUCCGUGACCAAGCCCCAGGCAGCACCUCCCUUCUGAGUUUUAUCUCAGAUGCGGGUGUGUUUCCCGACCCCGUAUUUCUGCGAGACUGUGGCCUCCAGCCGUUCUGCCCCUCUGUGGAGGGUCUCACCAAGCAAUGCCUGGGUGCCGGCCACACCCAGGAACGUUCGAGAGACCGUGCUGCUGCCGAGGCCCAGAGACCGCGACCGGGUGCCAGCCCGCCCCAGAAAGUUUGCGCGACAGUGUAGCAGCAGCGUUUCAGGGAUUAUGGCAAAUCACGACCCGCGUCUGGCACCAGGCUUCACCCCUAGGGUCCGUGUUCCAGCACCAGCGAAUGUGGUUUUUCUUUGGGGUCUGCCGAGGUGGCCACACAGACUCUACCAGAUGCCCUCCCAGCAGGGGAACCGCCUCUCCCGUGUGGCCCGAAGACCCCCGGAUUCCACUCUGCUCCCGGGAUUCUUCCUUCCCACCAGAGCACCACCAGAUACAGCUUGCUGACUGCUGUUCUAGACCCUCCUCCAGAAGCAGCCUACAGUACUAUGGGCCUCAGUCCCAUCUGAGCAGGAGUGACAUCAGUGGGGUAAGGAAGCUUCACAAUAACUGUUUGAGAUCAGUUAAGAAGAGGCAAUGGCAGCCAUAAUUAGGUCUGUGCAACAUCACUACUGAGGUCCUUCUCCUGGCCGUCCUCCCCAGGGCUCCCUACGCCCUGUCUCAGGUUCCGUCACCUUGGCAAGGAAAGGAGCUUCCCUCCAUCACUUCCAUCUUUUCUUCAGGACAUGCAGAUGGCUAUGUACAUGGAUCCAGAAAAUUCCAGGUCAGCUGAAGCCCUUCAAAGUGGCCCUGGUGGAACAAGCUAGGACAGCUCCAGUGGCUGUGCCACACCCCUCUGGGAGGCCCCUCUCAAGUGAGGCUCCCAAGCACACGUCUAGGACCCUGCCAGCAGAAAGCCGUUGCUCACAACAUCUCCAGCUCUGUAAUAAAUUCUUUACCAUAACA